GAGUCAGUUGUGUGGAAAAGAGUGCAGGGACUACGAGAGUUAUGUAAAUCGGUCUAUAUACAAUACAUAUCUAAACUAAAAUAAGUUUUUAUUCGGUUGCAGAUCCACUCGUGAUCUUUGUUAUUGUAAUCUGUAGUAGCUUUGUAUAUUCAGUCACGGGAUGUUGAGUGGUUUGUGGAGCCAUUCAUUCAUGCAACUUGAUCUAUGAGCUUAACAUUUCGGUGAAGUCUGUGUAUUCUCUCGUAUGUUAAAUUUUGUUUAAAAUUGGCAGUUGGUAAAGGUAUGCCACCAGCAGACAACUUGAGUCCUAGCUGAAGCAAAUGUUUAAACGCUUUUCUGCAAAUUUUGUAAGAAGCACUAUUCAGAGUGGGCGACGGGGACGUAAAACAACCCGCACUUAAAGAAGUCUGUGCCUACUUCUGUGUAUACAUACACAAAAGUUACAAUUAACAGUAAUAUUCUUAUUCUCAACCGCAGCGGUAUAACAUUAUUCUGGUUAGUUAAAAUUUGUUUAACAAGAUGGAAAAAACAAGUUCUUUCUCUGUCCGUAAACCAGCAAUCCAAUCAGCAAAAUCAGCAGUCUUUGCCAGCAAUGUAUAUCAUCAUUAUGGGUCUGGUAGACAGAGACUAAAUGUUUUGAAUGGUAUCAAUCUGAGGGUUCCACAAGGAAGCAUGUA
This is a long non-coding RNA of Anneissia japonica, 677 nucleotides long. RefSeq lists it as uncharacterized. The transcript is spliced from 3 exons. NCBI's taxonomy places the organism in Eukaryota, Metazoa, Echinodermata, Crinoidea, Comatulida, Comatulidae. The record is from RefSeq and is a predicted model, not a curated record.